Molecule: unclassified non-coding RNA, 100 nt
Filed under: Trypanosomatidae sp. 50CR-A
Lineage: Eukaryota; Euglenozoa; Kinetoplastea; Trypanosomatida; Trypanosomatidae
Source: RNAcentral
AACUAACGCUAUAUAAGUAUCAGUUUCUGUACUUUAUUGGUAUGAGAAGCUUCCGGAAACAUCAUUCCGGCAAAAUUUUGAAGUGGGGCGGAGCCCUACA